UAUGGGCGCAGGCCUGAAACCAGCCAAGUAGCGUGAAGGAUGACUGCCCUNCCGGUUGUAAACUUCUUUUAUAAAGGAAUAAAGUCGGGUAUGUAUACCCGUUUGCAUGUACUUUAUGAAUAAGGAUCGGCUAACUCCGUGCCAGCAGCCGCGGUAAUACGGAGGAUCCGAGCGUUAUCCGGAUUUAUUGGGUUUAAAGGGAGCGUAGAUGGAUGUUUAAGUCAGUUGUGAAAGUUUGCGGCUCAACCGUAAAAUUGCAGUUGAUACUGGAUAUCUUGAGUGCAGUUGAGGCAGGCGGAAUUCGUGGUGUAGCGGUGAAAUGCUUAGAUAUCACGAAGAACUCCGAUUGCGAAGGCAGCCUGCUAAGCUGCAACUGACAUUGAGGCUCGAAAGUGUGGGUAUCAAACAGGAUUAGAUACCCUGGUAGUCCAAGGGCGAAUUC
Molecule: ribosomal RNA, 442 nt
Filed under: uncultured bacterium
Lineage: Bacteria
Description: SSU rRNA
Rfam family: Bacterial small subunit ribosomal RNA
Source: RNAcentral